UGCAGUCGAGCGGAACGAGUUAUCUGAACCUUCGGGGAACGAUAACGGCGUCGAGCGGCGGACGGGUGAGUAAUGCCUAGGAAAUUGCCCUGAUGUGGGGGAUAACCAUUGGAAACGAUGGCUAAUACCGCAUAAUGCCUACGGGCCAAAGAGGGGGACCUUCGGGCCUCUCGCGUCAGGAUAUGCCUAGGUGGGAUUAGCUAGUUGGUGAGGUAAUGGCUCACCAAGGCGACGAUCCCUAGCUGGUCUGAGAGGAUGAUCAGCCACACUGGAACUGAGACACGGUCCAGACUCCUACGGGAGGCAGCAGUGGGGAAUAUUGCACAAUGGGCGCAAGCCUGAUGCAGCCAUGCCGCGUGUGUGAAGAAGGCCUUCGGGUUGUAAAGCACUUUCAGUCGUGAGGAAGGUGGUAGUGUUAAUAGCACUAUCAUUUGACGUUAGCGACAGAAGAAGCACCGGCUAACUCCGUGCCAGCAGCCGCGGUAAUACGGAGGGUGCGAGCGUUAAUCGGAAUUACUGGGCGUAAAGCGCAUGCAGGUGGUUUGUUAAGUCAGAUGUGAAAGCCCGGGGCUCAACCUCGGAAUAGCAUUUGAAACUGGCAGACUAGAGUACUGUAGAGGGGGGUAGAAUUUCAGGUGUAGCGGUGAAAUGCGUAGAGAUCUGAAGGAAUACCGGUGGCGAAGGCGGCCCCCUGGACAGAUACUGACACUCAGAUGCGAAAGCGUGGGGAGCAAACAGGAUUAGAUACCCUGGUAGUCCACGCCGUAAACGAUGUCUACUUGGAGGUUGUGGCCUUGAGCCGUGGCUUUCGGAGCUAACGCGUUAAGUAGACCGCCUGGGGAGUACGGUCGCAAGAUUAAAACUCAAAUGAAUUGACGGGGGCCCGCACAAGCGGUGGAGCAUGUGGUUUAAUUCGAUGCAACGCGAAGAACCUUACCUACUCUUGACAUCCAGAGAACUUUCCAGAGAUGGAUUGGUGCCUUCGGGAACUCUGAGACAGGUGCUGCAUGGCUGUCGUCAGCUCGUGUUGUGAAAUGUUGGGUUAAGUCCCGCAACGAGCGCAACCCUUAUCCUUGUUUGCCAGCAAAUAAUGUCGGGAACUCCAGGGAGACUGCCGGUGAUAAACCGGAAGAAAGGUNGGGAACAACGUCAAGUCAUCAUGGCCCUUACAAGUAGGG
Molecule: ribosomal RNA, 1178 nt
Filed under: Vibrio alginolyticus
Lineage: Bacteria; Pseudomonadati; Pseudomonadota; Gammaproteobacteria; Vibrionales; Vibrionaceae
Description: bacterial SSU rRNA
Rfam family: Bacterial small subunit ribosomal RNA
Source: RNAcentral